This 479-nucleotide long non-coding RNA is filed under the name Rattus norvegicus (Norway rat). Its description in RNAcentral is "partial Pvt1". The stretch from base 258 to 378 matches the Rfam family "Pvt1 oncogene conserved region 5". Lineage: Eukaryota; Metazoa; Chordata; Mammalia; Rodentia; Muridae. The record is from RNAcentral.
AUGCAAAUUCUGGAGUAAUACACCUGGCCUGCCUAGAGAUGUUACAAGUGGCCUAAUGGAUUUUUCUAGCCUGGACGCCCACUGGGGACAAGGAUCAUUACUGACAGGAUUGUAUCUCUACCCUUGACUCCAUGGGAAUAUUUGGUCUGCUCUCUCGGGCUCCCUCUAAAAUGGUUGACAGAGCUGAGGCUCACAACAGGCUGAACAUGUGCCUGAUGCUUUGCACAGGGUCAGGACCAGCUUCUGGGGAGGGUGAGCAUUGGUUGGCCCUGAGAAGAUUCUAAGGAGCCAGCAUAUCCUUUAAGCAUUCCAGAAGGAUUUUGAGAACCAUCCUUUCCUAAAUCAAAGCUAGAAUAUUUGGAGAUUUGGAAAAUUGAGGUCAGAUCAGAAGGACUUCUCGGAAAGCUGGACCUCAUGGCACUCACCGAUCAUUCUGAUAUCCAGAGAAGCCGAGGUGAGAAGCAUUGAUUUAAGAGAUG